RNAcentral lists this long non-coding RNA (670 nucleotides) under Rattus norvegicus (Norway rat). RNAcentral describes it as "long non-coding RNA NONRATT030188". Lineage: Eukaryota; Metazoa; Chordata; Mammalia; Rodentia; Muridae. The record is from RNAcentral.
AGCAGCCAGAAGCAGCAAGGACCAGGCAGCUAAUCCCACAGCUAAUCUGCAGCUUGGGCCUUAUCUACACCGCCUUCUGGGCACCCAGCUUCUGCCAAGACCCCAGUACCUCCCGCUUAGCUACUUCUCUGUGGAUGGUAGCCCUUCUCCUUUAUCCCUCUGCCCUCCUCUGUGAGACCCACCCCUAUGCCUCCUUCUUAGGUGCCCUGGAAUGAACUCCCCUUCACCCUGCAGUACUCUGGCAUCCACUGUGGACCAAUAGUGGAUUCUUCUUCAUCCAGCCCUGACUAGCAUCUCCAGAGGGAGUGUGCCUAAGACAUGACUUUACUCAGGGGUGACCCAGGAUGCAGGCUCAGUGCUUCAUCCUCCUCUCGCCUCUCCAGGGGCAGAGGAAGAAACUCAACACAAAUUGCUUGGAUAUCUGUGCUGGUCAGAUGUUUGGGGUCACUCAGACCAACCCCCAGCCCCAUGACCCAUUGUGCAAAGGCUAAAUCAGAAACCAUGAGAUGCCAGUUCCCCAUCCAAGAACACACAAAUGAGAAGAUUCAGCAUCGCAACCCAGCCUGCCUCCCCAACUAGUGCCAGGAGGCUUUACUAAUUUUGUCCCCUCCCUGGGAGUCACUAGACAGACACUAAGUCCAGCAACCUGCAGUCUGAAUUAGUGAUUUUU